This 70-nucleotide transfer RNA is filed under the name Bolitaena pygmaea. RNAcentral's name for it is "tRNA-Val". The record is from RNAcentral. Lineage: Eukaryota; Metazoa; Mollusca; Cephalopoda; Octopoda; Bolitaenidae.
CAAAAAUUAACAUAAUUAAUGUGUCUCACUUACGUUGAGGAUAUAUUCAAAUUAAUUUGAAUAUUUUUGA